This 3073-nucleotide long non-coding RNA is filed under the name Sus scrofa (pig). RNAcentral describes it as "lncRNA (ENSSSCG00045025570.1)". The record is from RNAcentral. Lineage: Eukaryota; Metazoa; Chordata; Mammalia; Artiodactyla; Suidae.
GGGGUCAAAUCGGAGCUACAGCUGCCGGGCUACACCACAGCCAGAGCAAUGCAGGAUCCAAGCUGUGUCUGCGACCUACACCACAGCUUCCGGCAACACUGGACCGUUAAUCCACUAAGCAAGGCCAGGGAUCGAACUGACAUCCUCAUAGAUACUAGUCGGAUCUGUUUCCUCUGCACCACAAUGGGAACUCUGGCUAAAAGCAUAUUUAUAAGACAGUUUAGAUGCUCAGAUUUUGUCCAACACACACAACCAGGCAACCUACCUCUUGCCAUUCCUAAGGGAGCAUUAGACAUUCAUUCUCCGGAAAAACUAACCCACGGAGGUCCUGGGAGCAGGAAAAAGCAGGCUUACUAGAGGAUGUGAGUAAGGAUAAGGGCAAAGCAAAUGGCUUAAGUGACAGUCUAUAUGCUGAAUGGUGGGACCCCUCCUUUUUCCAUUCUGUCCCAGAAAGUCAACAGCCCAGGCAGCAGAUUACAAAGAAAGCCCAUAAAUACCGAUCUCUGGAGGUUUCUUAAAGAAAAAGCUUCACCCUCUUCUUCCAACACCUUACAAGGAAGUACAACGGUCAAUGUGCUCUCUCCAUACACACAGAGUCUCCCUUAGAGUCUCACUUUAUAAUAUGAACAGACAGCCAAAGAUCACCAGAUCUUCAGAGGAGAAAACCUGUGUACCAGUCAGGGUCUCGGCAGAAAACAGACAGCACCUCCAACUGAGCAGCAGAAUUUCAUAAGGAGCCAUUCACAGAGGCAUGGACAAUGCCUAGGGAAACCAACAAGGGCAACUAGAUAAAGCGAGAGCUUUGCCACCUCUAAGCUGGUAGAGGCAAGGGAAGGGAACAGUAAGGAGAACCAGAGAGGGUGUAGUGAUAGAGAGGGAUGCCAGAGUGGAGCUGUGGGCCUUGACAAGGGAGGGAGCUCUGGCAAACAAGCCGGGUGGGAGCUGGAGGAAUAAAUAUGGCUCUCACUCUUUUCCAGUUCUCAGAUCUCCUGAUGUGCCUUUCAUUAGCUGAAUCCAAUCAGGAGCCAGAGGGCAAGGGAGCCUGAUGACAUAGGCCACAAAGGUGGGGAGAGGGGUGGCGCACGGAAGGGCAGAAAAGAGUAGAGAGCAUUUCUGGAGGGCAAAUAAAAAACAUCCGGCAUAGUCUCCAAUACGUAAGACAGAAUCCCAAAAGAAGAAACAGAGAAAAGUAGAAGAAACAGAAACAAGGCAGAGAGCAAAAGAAUAUUCUUUAAAACCCUACAAUAUCCAUUGAGAAAUGAUAGGUGAUAUGAACAAGAAUAGGAAAUUAUUUUUUUUAAGGAACUGAAAAAUAAGAAGGAGCCCUUGGAAAUUAAAAAUGAUAACUUCGGAGUUCCCGUUGUGGCGCAGUGGUUAACGAAUCUGACUAGGAACCAUGAGCUUGCGGAGCUGGAACAGACUUUGAAGAUUAUCUUACCCAAUUCUCUUAUUUCACCCACAAGAAAAACGACAUCCAGAGAAGGAAAGUGGCCUGCCCAAGGUGACAGCAGCUAGUCUUGUACGUAGGUCCCUUGGCUCAGGACUCUUUCUACUACAUGGUGCAGCUUCUUAAUGAACAAACACAUCUAUGAAUGAUCUAAUGGGCAAACAGAAUGUUGCUGAAGCCUUGCUCAGCAAGAGCCCUUCAGACUGAAUAGUCAUAGCUGCUCUGCAUUUCAGGGCUUAGGUGCACUGGGAAGAAUAGGAGAUUCCACGGAGGCGAGAGGCUGCAGAGACAGGGGCCACUGGGGAGUUAUUUAGGGGCCUUGGUGCCAGCUGAGGCCUGUGGGUGCCAGCUGAGGCCGGUGGAUCUGGGCGUUCACAGUGAGAUAGCAGGGAGCCACCCAGGCUCAGGAAGCUUGCUCCCAUUUAAGGAAGGACAGAGCAGGCUCACGGGCCUGAUUCCUUGGCCACUUUUAAGGCUGCCCCAUGCCACAUAUGGUUCCCUAGGUGCUCUGCUCUGAGGACAGACUGGGAUAGGCUGGCCCCUGCCCCACCAGAUAAGUACAAUAGUUGCUGUUGCUUUUUCCUGUCUCCUGAAGUCCCAAGCAUGCUAUAAGCUUAAGGUGCUGCUUGACAUGCUAAUUAAGCCAAAGCCUGACCUCAGCAAGGAGCAUGUGGUGAGGGGGGAAUGUGCAUACCUCAGAGUCAGCAAAUGAACCCAGGCUUCAGUUCUUUGAGUCUCCCUUUUCUUAAUUGGAAAACAGGUAAUUCCUAUCUAUUUUCUACAUUGCCUAGGGAUGACCUAAUAAAAUGAUGUAUGCAAAAUGCUCAGAAAAGUGCCAACACUUAGUAGGGACCCACUACUGUCAGUUCUUUUGUUUUUUAAAAAGGUUAUUAUCCUUAAAAAAAAGUCUUUUAUCUUCUGCAAUUAUCAACUUUGGAGUGUCUUCCUAAAUAACCCUUAAUGGCGCCACAAUGUCUACAGUAAAGUUAACACCACCGGAGACCUGGCCUUAACUGACCCUCUGCUGUCUUGCUGGCUGACCACUUGUACCUCAACCAUGAUUCACACUUCAAAGCCUUCCUUCCCUUUGCUCGUGUUGAUCCCUCAGCAUGGAACACUCUUUACCCUUCCUCCCCUCAGGAGCCCCCUCUCCCCUGAGGAUUUCCAAAAUUAAUCAUUCCUUCCUCUUUCCGCUUUCUUCUAAUUCUUGUCACUCUCUGCUUUGCACUCAUUCAUUUGUCCAUUCAGUGUUUAAGUGUAUAUCACGUGCCAGGUUUCAGUCACAGCUCUCUUUCCUAUUAAAUGUGAAUUCCAUAAGGGAAGAAUAUUUGCUAUGUUCCUCCACAGCACCCAGGAUGCCACAGCGCACUUUAUCAGCCACUAGCAAGCAAGCUGAUGGGAGGGAACGAGGAAAAUACUGUAUGUAAUAUUCAUACGAAGCACCGACUGCAUACAAGGCAAAUGUAGACAGUACAGGCCUGUUAAGAUGUACAACACAGUCUUUGGACAUGAGGACAGACAUGAGUGGUGGAGCAGACUUUCGAAAUAUUUCCCAGAUGGGGAUCCUAAGACCCAAAGAGGCAGACAGCCUGCCAGGGUCACACAGAGAGACAGAGGCAGACAGAG